UGCUUGAUAAACUCUGAUCACAAUUCACUAGACAACAAGUUUUGGGUUAACACUAUUAUAAAUAAUAUUCAUCAUGAAGAUACUAAACAUAAUUCCGACUAACAAGAGUAACCAAAAAGCCCAUAACAAACCUUAACCACCAAACCAAAAAAAAGGCUUUUGUUGUCAGCUUGAAAGAUUCCUUGAGCGCCUUUUUUAAGCUUUUCAAUAUUACUAUUAUUAUUUUGUUAUUAUUAUUUAUACACUUCUCCUUCAACAGUAUUUAUCCUUGAACUCGCUACUUUUAAGGGCUCACCCUUCAUCAUCAUCAACUUUAUACCUGUUAAUGUACAACCCUGAAGCAACCUACGCCCGGGCCUCAGGCUGUUUCUUGAAUUAUCAUUUUCGGAAAUUCUUGAAAUAUUUUCUUAUCCUUUUCAAUUUCACCAUCAUUCGUUAAGAUUCAACCAGAUUUUGAGGAAAAAGGAAGGUGCAUGAAAAGUGUAAAAGAAGCUAAAGAUUAUCAGUUUUUGCGGUUAACUCUUGAUCAAUUCGUUUGCUAUUGCUUGGCUGCUUAUAGGAAGGCUGCCAUUAACACUGACCAUGUUUAUGCAAAAUGGAAACCCAGCUGAUUCUGUAUUUCACUUUCGGUUAACCUUUCCAUUAUGUUUUGGUUGAUUGCUUUCCACUCUAUCCAUCUCCAUGCAAUGACCUUGCAGUAGGAAAACAAAUGAUAUUUUCAGGAAUUUCAAGAAUCUUGUUCUGAAGAGAAAUAAUAACAAUUUUCUAAACAUCAUCAUCGCCAUUAUUUUCAUGCUUUCUUGUUCUGCUGUUUCAAAUGGUAAUUGGCCUGUUAUACAUUCUUGCUACCAGAUGAGGAUCAUUGUUAUUUCAUUAUUAACAAACCAUUUGACUCGGGCUUUUAUUGAUUACCUGUAAUCAAUGAGGAUCAGCUUAUUCAAUAAUUUUCAACUGGUUUAGUCUGUGUUUCAAACCAAAAUUUGAUUUAUUUGAUAAAACCUCUCGUUUUUGCUUA
Long non-coding RNA from Tetranychus urticae (two-spotted spider mite), 1015 nucleotides. RefSeq lists it as uncharacterized. NCBI's taxonomy places the organism in Eukaryota, Metazoa, Arthropoda, Arachnida, Trombidiformes, Tetranychidae. The record is from RefSeq and is a predicted model, not a curated record.